GAUGAACGCUAGCUACAGGCUUAACACAUGCAAGUCGAGGGGCAGCAUGGACAUAGCUUGCUAUGUUUGAUGGCGACCGGCGCACGGGUGCGUAACACGUAUCCAAUCUGCCCCGUUACUCGGGGAUAGCCUUCUGAAAGGAAGAUUAAUACCCGAUGGCAUGUAUUUCCGGCAUCGGAGAUACAUUAAAGAUUUAUCGGUAACGGAUGAGGAUGCGUACGAUUAGCUUGUUGGCGGGGUAACGGCCCACCAAGGCGACGAUCGUUAGGGGUUCUGAGAGGAAGGUCCCCCACACUGGAACUGAGACACGGUCCAGACUCCUACGGGAGGCAGCAGUGAGGAAUAUUGGUCAAUGGGCGGAAGCCUGAACCAGCCUAGUAGCGUGAAGGAUGAAGGUUCUAUGGAUUGUAAACUGCUUUUGUACGAGGGUAAAAUGAGAUACGUGUAUCUCACUGAAAGUAUCGUAUGAAUAAGGAUCGGCUAACUCCGUG
RNAcentral lists this ribosomal RNA (491 nucleotides) under uncultured bacterium. RNAcentral's name for it is "bacterial SSU rRNA". It matches the Rfam family "Bacterial small subunit ribosomal RNA", at positions 28 to 507 of the family's 1533-position model. The record is from RNAcentral.